Trifolium pratense (red clover) is the source of this 461-nucleotide long non-coding RNA. RefSeq lists it as uncharacterized. The record is from RefSeq and is a predicted model, not a curated record. NCBI's taxonomy places the organism in Eukaryota, Viridiplantae, Streptophyta, Magnoliopsida, Fabales, Fabaceae. The transcript has 3 exons.
AGGGAAUAUAAAAGAAUGUACAUGUAACCUUUUCAUUCUCAUUUUGAGGGUUUCAUCUCGCUCGCUCUUUCCGCACGCACAACUCAAGGAACAGUCUCUCCCAAUCAUCAUCUCACAAGUCCAAAUGGCUCGCACAGAGAGAGGCAUUUUUGGCUGCAAAAAGGGAAUGAUUGGCUAGAAUUAGGACAUAUAUGGCGAUGUAUCGUGGGGGCGCAUAAGAAAGCUGAGAUCAGGGACGAGGAUGAGGACUUCUGAGACAAGACAACAAUGCUUUGUGUCUAGAUUACAGUUUGUUUGUGUAAAUCCAGUUGGCUCUCAUUGGUGGUUAUGUUAUGUGGUGUCUUGACUUAGUUGAUUCAUUGCUAGUAGACAUUUUUGUUGCUGUUAUGGGAGGGUUUGGUUUCGGCUACUUUUGCUUCAGAUUUGAUUAAACCUACGGUACGUGGUUGGAUGUUUCUGAA